UGAACGCUGGCGGCAUGCCUUACACAUGCAAAUCGAACGGUAACGGGCCUUCGGGUGCCGACGAGUGGCGAACGGGUGAGUAAUACAUCGGAACGUGCCCGAUCGUGGGGGAUAACGAGGCGAAAGCUUUGCUAAUACCGCAUACGAUCUACGGAUGAAAGCAGGGGACCGCAAGGCCUUGCGCGGACGGAGCGGCCGAUGGCAGAUUAGGUAGUUGGUGGGAUAAAAGCUUACCAAGCCGACGAUCUGUAGCUGGUCUGAGAGGAUGAUCAGCCACACUGGGACUGAGACACGGCCCAGACUCCUACGGGAGGCAGCAGUGGGGAAUUUUGGACAAUGGGCGCAAGCCUGAUCCAGCCAUGCCGCGUGCAGGAUGAAGGCCUUCGGGUUGUAAACUGAUUUUGUACGGAACGAAAAGCCUUCUUUUAAUACAGGAGGGUCAUGACGGUACCGGAAGAAUAAGCACCGGCUAACUACGUG
RNAcentral lists this ribosomal RNA (480 nucleotides) under uncultured bacterium. RNAcentral describes it as "partial 16S ribosomal RNA". It matches the Rfam family "Bacterial small subunit ribosomal RNA", at positions 30 to 507 of the family's 1533-position model. The record is from RNAcentral.